RNAcentral lists this transfer RNA (71 nucleotides) under Phrynosoma platyrhinos (Desert horned lizard). RNAcentral describes it as "tRNA-OTHER". The record is from RNAcentral. Lineage: Eukaryota; Metazoa; Chordata; Lepidosauria; Squamata; Phrynosomatidae.
GCCAGCAUGGCAUAGUGGUUUGAGCGUUGGGUGACAACUCUGGAGACCAGGGUUCAACUCCCUGCUUGGCC